CGCACAUUGCGCCCAUUGGUAUUCCGAUGGGCAUGCCUGUUCGAGCGUCAUUAUCCUCUCUCAAACCUCGGGUUUGGUGUUGGACCGGUGUUGUUUGGGUGACUGAACAACUGGUCUCAAAGACAAUGACGGCGUCCGUGGGACCCUCUUCGCAACGAGCUUUUCGGAGCACGCGUCGAGUUUAAAGGACCUUCCGGGCCGGUCUCCUUUUAUAUUUUCUAAGGUUGACCUCGGAUCAGGUAGGAAUACCCGCUGAACUUAA
Molecule: unclassified non-coding RNA, 262 nt
Filed under: Chaetothyriales sp.
Lineage: Eukaryota; Fungi; Ascomycota; Eurotiomycetes; Chaetothyriales
Description: partial contains 5.8S ribosomal RNA, internal transcribed spacer 2, and large subunit ribosomal RNA
Source: RNAcentral